This 492-nucleotide ribosomal RNA is filed under the name uncultured bacterium. Its description in RNAcentral is "partial 16S ribosomal RNA". It matches the Rfam family "Bacterial small subunit ribosomal RNA", at positions 29 to 507 of the family's 1533-position model. The record is from RNAcentral.
AGUGAACGCUGGCGGUAGGCCUAACACAUGCAAGUCGAACGGCAGCACAGUAAGAGCUUGCUCUUACGGGUGGCGAGUGGCGGACGGGUGAGGAAUACAUCGGAAUCUACUUUUUCGUGGGGGAUAACGUAGGGAAACUUACGCUAAUACCGCAUACGACCUACGGGUGAAAGCAGGGGAUCUUCGGACCUUGCGCGAUUGAAUGAGCCGAUGUCGGAUUAGCUAGUUGGCGGGGUAAAGGCCCACCAAGGCGACGAUCCGUAGCUGGUCUGAGAGGAUGAUCAGCCACACUGGAACUGAGACACGGCCAAGACUCCUACGGGAGGCAGCAGUGGGGAAUAUUGGACAAUGGGCGCAAGCCUGAUCCAGCCAUACCGCGUGGGUGAAGAAGGCCUUCGGGUUGUAAAGCCCUUUUGUUGGGAAAGAAAAGCAGCAGGUUAAUACCCCGCUGUUCCGACGGUACCCAAAGAAUAAGCACCGGCUAACUUCGUG